CAAAAACCGGAGGACAUGAAGAGAAAAGAAACAUGCGGAAAUAGACUCAUACAUUUCACGAGUGAUCGGAAAACGUGAUUUCCACUCCAACAUAGCUCUCGCACAGCAUUGGAACAUAAGACUCAAAGAAAAAUGAACCCAGAAACGGAAUGAACUACACGCUAACUUGGUUCGGGCAUUUCAACAAACAAAUGGCAGGUGUAUUUAUACAUGAAAUUCAGAAGCAAGCUCAAUACUCUAUUCGAUCCGAACGUAACAUAUCAAGCUUUAGAUCAAUAUUACUUGCCACAAAAACGAUACUAACUUCGAACAACCUUCUCACGCAUUGAUCAUCAAGCCAUAUAUCCUAAGAUCGGCAAAGAAAAGCAAAUAGAGAUUACCUGGCUUCGAAGACCAAAUGUGAUCGGCUAUCCCCAUGAGUGGGUUGGGCUCGUCUUCUGGCGCAUCGUGUCUGGUUUCCGCAACGCUUUUGACGCUGGGCAGAACGGAACGAUGAAAAGGCAACGAACGGUGGCGAGAUCCGGGGUGGCGGCCACCUCCGAUGACCGACGCAGAUGAUCCUCCUUCCAGCCGAAUCCUCUUUUUACGAGGCACCCUCUCGUCGCUGGCUUUUCUUCUUCCGAUCCCCCUCCAAAAAAACUGACGCGCCCCCUCUACCUUCUCUGCCUCCGAGAGCGUCCAGCCCCCCACUCUUUUCAGCAGAGAAUCCCCUUCCGUUAGACCACGCUCUCUCUGGUUUCUUUUCUUCAAUGGCCGAACGCUCGACUUCUUGCCUCCAGAAUUAGCGCCCUGCCCCUCCUUUCUUUUUCCUUCUUUCUGGUUCGAACUCGGGCAGUCCCCUCCUACAAACCAAAACCAGCCGAAGCUCCCCCCUUGGUUCUCUCACUUUCCGGCUCUCCGGAACUUGGCCUCUUCAACGGCCGCCCUCUCUGAAGGCGUCUCUCCUCCUUUUGUUACGGGAACAGGAUCCUCUUCAGGCGAGCAUCCCUUCCGGCCGAAGACGUUCCUCGGCGAGCAGCUCCUUUCUCGGAUUCUCUCUCUGCGAU
This 1046-nucleotide long non-coding RNA is filed under the name Eucalyptus grandis. RNAcentral describes it as "long non-coding RNA (EGRA_LNC001491)". The record is from RNAcentral. Lineage: Eukaryota; Viridiplantae; Streptophyta; Magnoliopsida; Myrtales; Myrtaceae.